UGGCUUCUUAUGGAAACAACCAUGAGCAGGUAGAGUUAUGUUUUCUCUCUUUCCAAGGGUAUGUCUCUGGCCCCAAGGGGAAAGCAAAACCCAGAACAAUAGACACCAACAAACAACAUUAAGCUAAAGUAGCGCCUCAUCCGAUGUGCAGCCAAAAGGAACGCUCAGCCCAAGGUAUGCUGACACUUCCCCUCUCUUCCCCAAGAAGAUGCUGAUGUAUCUGUUUGGACCCCCAAUUGAGCCCCUUUUUCUGGUUCCAGCAACCAGCAACCAACAGGCAGGGCUGGUGUCAAUGAAAUCAGUGAAGAUUUGAAGACUGGUCUAGAAGCAAAAUGGAGCCCUCACUGACAGUUGAAGCAUUUCUACUCAAUUCCAUUGGUUGCCAACUUUUAGAUUCUUUGAAGAUAUAAUUCUAGGCCCAUGAGAAGUUACUACAUAUUUCUGAUGUGAUUGAGUCUUGACAUAGGACCAGAAAAGCAAGAAACUUAAUAAGUACAUAGAAAUAAAAAGAAAAGUAAGGCCCUAUACUUAUUAUCAUUAUUAUUUCCCAUUACAAAAUAAUUUAGUGGCACUUUUUCUCAUAAUCUAUAAUUUCUCUAUUUAUAGAUUGGGUUCUAUUUUAUAAAAUCUUCUAUACAUACAUCAUUCAAAUUUGUAUAUUCAGAUAAUGUAAUAAACAAGGCUUUAUUAUCACCAUUUUCAAAAUGUAGAAACCGAAGUCUAGAGACUCAUAUCUCUUGGCUGGGAAUAUGGCUUAGUGGUAGAGUGCUUGCCUAGCAUGCAUGAGGACCUGUAUUCAAUGCCUCCAUAUCACAUAAUCAAAAAAUAAAUAAAAUUAAUGAUUUCUUUUUAAAAAUUCAGGUUUCUAGACAAAACCUGGUAAGAGGCUUAAACCAAGAUCUUCUAAACCCAAAGCAAGAGUCUUCACAAAAAUGCAAAAGAAAUUGUGAUUUGCACUUUAUAUAGUCUUUCUAGCAUCUUUAGUUUGUAAAUCUUUCUCAUACUACUGAUAUCAUCUAAGGAUAAUGAUUAACAGGAGUUUUCGAGAGGAUGACAAGAGUAGGAGGCCAAAAUGGCAUUGGGUAACACUUGGACUGUUUUUAAAAACAAAUCAGCAAGAAGAGGAGAGGCUGACACAAGAGUCCAAGUAGUGGUUAAAGGCCAAGGCAGAAGACCCAGCCAGUUCCAUGCUGAGCUCCUAAGCCAAGGAAGUUGAAGCCCUGGUGUCAGUGCUGUGCCAGAUGGACCUGACUAGAAAAGAGUCAUGGGUCCAAUGCACAGUUUAUUUCUCCAACUGUAAAGACACCAUAACCUCGGUCUUCAUGGAGAGGAGGAAAUUGCUGCUAUCUUUAAUAAAAUGGAAUCUGAAAUCAAACUAUGAGUUAGGAAAUUGAAGAACUACAA
Molecule: long non-coding RNA, 1404 nt
Organism: Perognathus longimembris pacificus (Pacific pocket mouse)
Lineage: Eukaryota; Metazoa; Chordata; Mammalia; Rodentia; Heteromyidae
Exons: 3
Source: RefSeq, a predicted model, not a curated record